GACGAACGCUGGCGGCGUGCUUAACACAUGCAAGUCGAACGGAAAGGCCCUGCUUUUGUGGGGUGCUCGAGUGGCGAACGGGUGAGUAACACGUGAGUAACCUGCCCUUGACUUUGGGAUAACUUCAGGAAACUGGGGCUAAUACCGGAUAGGAGCUCCUGCUGCAUGGUGGGGGUUGGAAAGUUUCGGCGGUUGGGGAUGGACUCGCGGCUUAUCAGCUUGUUGGGGGGGUAGUGGCUUACCAAGGCUUUGACGGGUAGCCGGCCUGGGAGGGGGACCGGCCACAUUGGGACGGAGAUACGGCCCAGACUCCUACGGGAGGCAGCAGUGGGGAAUAGUGCACAAUGGGCGGAAGCCUGAUGCAGCAACGCCGCGUGCGGGAUGACGGCCUUCGGGUUGUAAACCGCUUUCGCCUGUGACGAAGCGUGAGUGACGGUAAUGGGUAAAGAAGCACCGGCUAACUACGUG
This 468-nucleotide ribosomal RNA is filed under the name uncultured bacterium. RNAcentral's name for it is "partial 16S ribosomal RNA". It matches the Rfam family "Bacterial small subunit ribosomal RNA", at positions 28 to 507 of the family's 1533-position model. The record is from RNAcentral.